CCUCCCCUCGCACAGCCGCCACCCACCUCCACCACGCCUUCUUCCUAUCCCGAUUCCCACCCACAUUGCCGCCGCUGCCGCCGGCCUACGCCCUCCCCCCACACCGCCGCCGUGAAACCCCCUCCUCACCUUCUCUCCCCGGUCGAGCAGCAGCAGGUCAGGCGGAGGCGGCAGCCAGAUCCACUGCGUUGCUUCCGGAUCCGCGCCCUCCCCACCCCCGAUUCAUCUCCAAUCCCGCCGCCGACACCCAACCCCACCCCCACCGGCGACCUCCCCUAACCCCAUCACCACCGGCGACCUCCCUCCCUUGCUCCUCAACCCAACCUAACCCCGAUUCGAUUCAGUUCAGAGACGAAUCCCCUUCCACAUCGCCGCCGCCGCCACACACUGCCGAUCCCCUCACAUCCGGCCGGUGGCCAUGGCCUCCGGUAUCUCCCCGACAGCCGCCACUCCCGUACCCUCUCCAGUCCCCUCCCCUGCGCUGCCCUCACCAGAAGAGGAAGAGAAGAGGUAGGGAGACCAAGCGAGCUGGUCAGGCGGCCGCCAUGGCGUGACCAGAUCCGCCACGGUUGCCCAUGGUUUCUUCGACCUGGGCCUCGACGGAGGUCGCCAUGGCCUGCUCCGUGCUGAUCCUCUCUUCCUCACCUCACAUCAGGCGACGGCCAAAUCAAGGCGUAUUCGCACCAUCGUCAAUGGCCUCAAUGGAGGUGCUCGCGUGCCGGCUUCCUCCUCCUGCUUCUUCUCGGCCGCUGCCGACGCCAUGGAGCUUCCUAGCCUAGCAGGAAGGGGGAAGAAGAGACAGCGGGACGGAAGUAAGGAGGCCGCCGGGGAGUGAGGUGUUGUACUCGACGAAGAUAGCUGACGCCUCUGUUUGUGAUGCCACAUGACAAGCAUAGGGAAGAGCCCACCAUCGCCAGCUUGCUCCACCACAAGUCGCGCUUGCCCUCCGUGCUCAACAUGGCACUGCUUGUCCUGGGAGUGAUUAUUCUCAUUGUAUACUUCAACAACGGCUCAGGUACACGAAGGCUGGGAGCGCCAAGGCGCACCUCACGCGCGGGGAUGCCGACAAGAAGGAUGUGGGCGAGGACUUCUUCGUCUUCAUGGGCGAGUUCCGCAAGGAGUUCAAGCAGAAGAACCCCAAGAACAAGUCUGUCACUGCUGUAGGCAAAGCAGCCGGUGGGAGGUGGAAGAACUUGAGCGAGUCGAUCAUGGUGUACCAGCUUUGCAAGGGCGUUGCUUUUUGCCACGGACGCGGUGUUCGGCACCAUGACCUUAAGCCACACAACCUACAAAUUGGUGGAUGGGUGAAUGAGGUUUUCAAAUAUUGAAGGAGGAGGACAAUAUGAACUUCUGUUCUGUCUUAUCAUCUAAACUUCUGUUUUAAUUUUCUUUGUUGUAGAAUAGUUUUGUUUGGCACUUACUAUUCCUGGGAUGUAAAGAUAUGUAUUGCUAGAAUGAAUGGUUGUAAUAUAAGCAAUAUUAUAUUUUGGGCUCCUAUAACAUUGCACGUUGCUUUGAAAAUGUAUCAGAACUGGGCUAGGCCCAAGAUAGCUUGUGGUG
RNAcentral lists this ribosomal RNA (1560 nucleotides) under Triticum aestivum (bread wheat). Its description in RNAcentral is "partial small subunit ribosomal RNA". The record is from RNAcentral. Lineage: Eukaryota; Viridiplantae; Streptophyta; Magnoliopsida; Poales; Poaceae.